Eurytemora carolleeae is the source of this 210-nucleotide long non-coding RNA. RefSeq lists it as uncharacterized. The record is from RefSeq and is a predicted model, not a curated record. Lineage: Eukaryota; Metazoa; Arthropoda; Copepoda; Calanoida; Temoridae. The transcript is spliced from 4 exons.
AGUAAAAAAGAAUUUAAAAAGAAAAUACCAAAGGAGAAGAGGAAACUCGGAAUUAAAAACUAGUUCAAUCGAGAAGAAAAGGACCUUUGCUAAGUAUUCAAAUAAGAGAUUGAGUUCACCGCUUUCAAGCUCUAGCUUUGAUUCCGCCAUAUCAGAUAUAUAUUCAUCUUCCAUACACACACCCAGGUAGAUAUAUUAUAUAUAUAUAUC